RNAcentral lists this ribosomal RNA (447 nucleotides) under uncultured bacterium. RNAcentral describes it as "partial 16S ribosomal RNA". It matches the Rfam family "Bacterial small subunit ribosomal RNA", at positions 330 to 793 of the family's 1533-position model. The record is from RNAcentral.
CCCAGACUCCUACGGGAGGCAGCAGUGGGGAAUAUUGCACAAUGGGGGGAACCCUGAUGCAGCGACGCCGCGUGGGUGAAGGAGCGUUUCGGCGCGUAAAGCCCUAUCGGCAGGGAAGAAGGAGGACGGUACCUGACUAAGAAGCCCCGGCUAACUACGUGCCAGCAGCCGCGGUAAUACGUAGGGGGCAAGCGUUAUCCGGAUUUACUGGGUGUAAAGGGGGCGCAGGCGGCAGCGCAAGCCAGGAGUGAAAGCCCGGGGCCCAACCCCGGGACUGCUCUUGGAACUGCGCGGCUGGAGUGCAGGAGGGGCAGGCGGAAUUCCUGGUGGAGCGGUGAAAUGCGUAGAUAUCAGGAGGAGCACCGGUGGCGAAGGCGGCCUGCUGGACUGCAACUGACGUUGAGGCCCGAAAGCGUGGGGAGCAAACAGGAUUAGAUACCCUCGUAA